Synchiropus splendidus (mandarinfish) is the source of this 1993-nucleotide long non-coding RNA. RefSeq lists it as uncharacterized. NCBI's taxonomy places the organism in Eukaryota, Metazoa, Chordata, Actinopteri, Syngnathiformes, Callionymidae. The transcript has 3 exons. The record is from RefSeq and is a predicted model, not a curated record.
CAUUGGAACAUCUAUGUGUCCACAAGCAACACAGAUUUUCGGCAUCACCAUAGGACACAGAACUCCACUUCCUGACAUCAAUGUAUUCCGCCAUGGGAGCGAGAACGGAUUAAACAAAAAGUCUGGCAAAGUCUCCACGCCAAGAUUCCGAAGAGAUAUAUAUGCUUUGUGUUGAAAAAAAGAAGUGAAGAACUGACCCGAGCGGACUCAAAGCAUGAGCACUGAGUGUUCUUUUCAUCUCGUUACAACAAGAAGUGCAGGGAGAAAAAGGUGGAGCAGAUGUUGACUCCAACCGCAAGCCUCUGCCCUCUCGUCCAUCUCCCUAGGCAGAAGACCCCUGUCUUGGCUGCCAUUUCUCAGCGUGACAGCUGAGAGCCAGACAGCGGAACGAGAGUGGGGCUUUGGUGGUGGGGGGGAAGGCAGGGCUUAAAUCUGAGAGAUAGCUUAGAGGCUAGACAUACAGAGAUAGGCCUCUGCCCCCCCUAUUGGGGACCAGGUGUUCUUCUAUCGAGGUUCCUCGACUGGUGAGAGAGAGAGAGAGAACUACCCUCAUGUUUCACUUGGCAUCGCUGCACCUGCAUCUGUGGGGUUAGGAAGUGCCAUUGCUUGUGUGUUUGGGGGCUGGAGCGGGGCGACAGCUUGGUCUCUAGAGGCUGCAGACAGUGUUGCACCACCACACUGCAGACCUCUGUGCCCCAAACAGGCACCCACCUCGCCUCCCUCUCAGCCUGACACGUCUCUGUGUCGACUCAGCAACUCCGUCCCAACUUUUUCAUUAUUUUUUUUUUCAGCUAGUCAGGUAUUCAGUUCACGUUUUACUCGUACUAUUUUUAGAUGACUGAGUGACGUACACGUCUAUUUCGAUGAUGCCUCACAGGAAUUUUCAGGGUUCUUUUCACAAAUGAACCCAAGCAGUCUAUAGCGGAGCCGUCGCUUGUUUGUUAUGUUAAUGUUUGGUUCCAUAAUAAGUACUGAUUCUCAAUGCGGAGGAUUUUAUAUGGUGAACCUGCGCUUACUUUGCUCUCCUUCAAGCGGUUCGGUACUUUCACAUUGUUCAGUCAGUAACCUCAAACGCAUCCUGGCAGCUUUACAAAGACAGGUACACCUCGCAUGACAAGCAAGUGCUCAUGUGUCUAGCAGUGGCGCUAGAGGAUAAGAGAGCAACCGUAAACACCACACACUCACACGACUCGAGAAGCCAAAAUUGCCGGUUGGCGACCAACUGCCUUCUUCCAGGAGGGAGAGGAACAGAUGGCCAAACGAACACCUCCAGACUCAUGCAAACUGAAAGAAGCCCGCGAUUUGGACUUGCAUGUGGAGUCAGAGACUCUUCUUCCCACAUGAAAUUGCUGCAAGCAACUUGUGUCCAGACCCGGUCCUUUGAUGCAAAGGCUGCUUACGAGUUUUCAUUGUGGAAUUGACGGUCCCAUGGCAAGAAGCGUUCAAAAGAACUAAAGGACAAAUAUAACCAGGCAUGGCUGAGAUGGCGGGGCUUUGUGGGUCCUUCUCCUCUCUGGUUACCGAGAGAAGUUCUAGUCAUAGGUCAGGCUCCGUGGAUGAUCGCCAAGGAACUUGCUGCUCAAGUAGCCACCAGGGUGGCACAUACCCUGGAGGAUGUUGGAAUAUUGUAUGUUGAGUGAAUGAAUAUAAGCCGUGGCUCAGCGAAAGGACAAGGUUUCUUCAGCAGAGGUUCAUCUUGAGGACAAGCAGAAGUUGUUUAUCACAUCUGCAGUUCAGCGGCAGACAAUGCUGAGAAAACAGGAUAGACGCUAGACGUGCUACUUCUCUGAAUUUUGACACCUACAUUAUGGAACUUUGGGAGAAUAAGACUCUAAGUAUAAGAAUCGGGCGAUGCACUCAGAAGCGAAGAGGUUGUAUCAUGAUAUGUACUUCUCAGACGCUCUCCUGAGUUCUGUGUGUUGGUGACCUUUCAUCAAAUACACUGUUACCGCUGAGUCCGUCUACCUUCUCAUCUUUUUCUCAUUUUGCAACC